RNAcentral lists this non-coding RNA (207 nucleotides) under Clostridium tyrobutyricum. Its description in RNAcentral is "T-box sequence". It matches the Rfam family "T-box leader". Rfam says of the family: Uncharged tRNA acts as the effector for transcription antitermination of genes in the T-box leader family. T-boxes are found upstream of many aminoacyl-tRNA synthetase genes and some amino acid biosynthetic genes usually in Gram-positive bacteria. The anticodon of a specific tRNA base pairs to a specifier sequence within the T-box motif, and the NCCA acceptor tail of the tRNA base pairs to a conserved bulge in the T-box antiterminator hairpin. The record is from RNAcentral. Lineage: Bacteria; Bacillati; Bacillota; Clostridia; Eubacteriales; Clostridiaceae.
UAUUUAGCUGUGAAUAAGGAUUAGUAAUAUUUACAUCACUAAAGAGAGCUAUUGUCAGGUGAAAAAUAGUGUGAUAUUAAAAUAUGAACUCACCUUACGAGUUUACCUGAAAAAAUCAGGUACGGCAGGAAACCGUUAUUAUUUAAGGGAAAUCAUUAUUGAUUUAAUUAGAGUGGUACCGCGAAAAUUAAACUUUUCGUCUCUUAG